RNAcentral lists this long non-coding RNA (453 nucleotides) under Fukomys damarensis (Damara mole-rat). RNAcentral's name for it is "lncRNA (ENSFDAG00000029999.1)". The record is from RNAcentral. Lineage: Eukaryota; Metazoa; Chordata; Mammalia; Rodentia; Bathyergidae.
UCUCUCUGACUUGUUAGUGUUCUCUGUUUCCUUCCUUGGUAUCACUGUAGCCUAAUCCACAGUUCAGAUGCAUUACUUGGUGGGAGAGGGGUUUUGGCAAUGGAGGCAUGCAAUGAUUAUAAUGAAGACACUUUCAGCAUAGCGGUGGAUGAAACUUUUUGAGCGUCACCCCUGUUUCCACAGCUAGAGGGAAUUCAGCCACGUUGCGCCCAUGUUCUAGCAGCUGAAGCUAAGUCUUCCAUUGGAAGGGUCAUAGCUCUUUUCCAAAGCUCUAUUAUUUUAGAACAAAGUCUAGAGUUGCCCCAUUUGCUCAAGAUUUGGAGUCACUGUCACAUCAAUUAUAACUGCAGAGGAUGCAAUAGAAAGGGAUCUUCAACUCUACCGGAGGACAAAACUAUAGUUUUUUGCUCAAUUGGUAAGUCUUAUUGCCGAUUUGAAACUUAUUCGAUCUCA